Cucurbita moschata (crookneck pumpkin) is the source of this 95-nucleotide long non-coding RNA. RefSeq lists it as uncharacterized. NCBI's taxonomy places the organism in Eukaryota, Viridiplantae, Streptophyta, Magnoliopsida, Cucurbitales, Cucurbitaceae. The record is from RefSeq and is a predicted model, not a curated record. The transcript is spliced from 3 exons.
UUCUCUCUUUUUUUUGUAAGAUCCAAACCUACAUAAAGUCCUAAGCCAGCUAGACGAGAGUCCAGUAGAUGGAUUCUCGAAGUGCUUAGAUGAAG